GAUGGGUAAAGACACUAAGAGAGCAGCAUUAGAAAAGGUUCGUGCUAUAAAAUUUCGUAUUGAACACUCUAGAGAGCUAUUGCAUGAUUCGAACGCAUUUGGUGCAUACGAAAAUCUGCACCUUAACGAUAAAAGCUUUUUCGACAAUGCACUGAGCGUUCGUAAGUGGGUAACUGACAAAUACUUUUCUCAGCUUUGGAUGCCUAAGAAAGUGGAAGAGU
This is a long non-coding RNA of Stegodyphus dumicola, 221 nucleotides long. Lineage: Eukaryota; Metazoa; Arthropoda; Arachnida; Araneae; Eresidae. The record is from RefSeq and is a predicted model, not a curated record.